Ictalurus punctatus (channel catfish) is the source of this 936-nucleotide long non-coding RNA. NCBI's taxonomy places the organism in Eukaryota, Metazoa, Chordata, Actinopteri, Siluriformes, Ictaluridae. The record is from Ensembl.
UGGUCAGACUUUCUGUAGGAGUGGGCGUGAUUGGUCAGACUUUCUGUAGGAUUGGACAAAAUUGGUCAAACUUUCUGUAGAAGUGGGCAGGACUUGUCAGACUUUCUGUAGGAGUGGGCGGGAUUGGUCAGACUUUCUGUAGGAGUGGGCGUGAUUGGUCAGACUUUCUGUAGGAUUGGACAAAAUAGGUCAAACUUUCUGUAGAAGUGGGCAGGACUUGUCAGACUUUCUGUAGGAGUGGGCGGGAUUGGUCAGACUUUCCGUAGGAGUGGGCAGGAUUUGUCAGACUUUCUGUAAGAGUGGGCGGGAUUGGUCAGACUUUCCGUAGGAGUGGGCAGGAUUUGUCAGACUUUCUGUAAGAGUGGGCGGGAUUGGUCAGACUUUCCGUAGGAGUGGGCAGGAUUUGUCAGACUUUCUGUAAGAGUGGGCGGGAUUGGUCAGACUUUCUGUAGGAGUGGGCAGGAUUUGUCAGACUUUCCGUAAGAGUGGGCGGGAUUGGUCAGACUUGCUGUAGGAGUGGGCGGGAUUGGACAAAAUAGGUCAAACUUUCUGUAGAAGUGGGCAAGACUUGUCAGACCUUCUGUAGGAUUGGACAAAAUAGGUCAAACUUUCUGUAGAAGUGGGCAGGACUUGUCAGACUUUCUGUAGGAGUGGGCGGGAUUGGUCAGACUUUCUGUAGGAGUUGGCAGGAUUGGUUAGACUUUCUGUAGGCGGAAUUAAAUAAAGAAAAAACGGUUCUGCACUCACCUCUAAUUUGAUCUAUAUCAGUACAGUAAAUAUAGUAUUGUAGGCCACUAAGAGAUUCUCCCACUCCUCUCCAGACCUGAAAAAAGCUUUGGUGCUUCCUCCAAAUAAGUCUAAAAGAGGACCAGUUGUCUUUUCAUCCAAGAACCCAGAGAAGAGCUUGUUUUCACACUGCCUGUUCAGGACCUGAGG